AGGACAUGAAAAGCUUGCUUUUUAUGAAAUCUAGUGGCAAACGGGUGAGUAACACGUAAACAACCUGCCUUCAAGAUGGGGACAACAGACGGAAACGACUGCUAAUACCGAAUACGAUCCGAAAGUCGCAUGACAUUUGGAUGAAAGGGUGGCCUAUCGAAGAAGCUAUCGCUUGAAGAGGGGUUUGCGUCCGAUUAGGUAGUUGGUGAGGUAACGGCCCACCAAGCCGACGAUCGGUAGCCGGUCUGAGAGGAUGAACGGCCACACUGGAACUGAGACACGGUCCAGACUCCUACGGGAGGCAGCAGUGGGGAAUCUUCCGCAAUGGACGAAAGUCUGACGGAGCAACGCCGCGUGAGUGAAGACGGCCUUCGGGUUGUAGAGCUCUGUGAUUCGGGACGAAAGGCCAUAUGUGAAUAAUAUAUGGAAAUGACGGUACCGAAAAAGCAAGCCACGGCUAACUACGUGCCGGCAGCCGCGGUAAUACGUAGGUGGCAAGCGUUGUCCGGAAUUAUUGGGCGUAAAGCGCGCGCAGGCGGUCACUUAAGUCCAUCUUAGAAGUGCGGGGCUUAACCCCGUGAUGGGAUGGAAACUGGGAGACUGGAGUAUCGGAGAGGAAAGUGGAAUUCCUAGUGUAGCGGUGGAAUGCGUAGAUAUUAGGAAGAACACCGGUGGCGAAGGCGACUUUCUGGACGAAAACUGACGCUGAGGCGCGAAAGCGUGGGGAGCAAACAGGAUUAGAUACCCUGGUAGUCCACGCCGUAAACGAUGGAUACUAGGUGUAGGAGGUAUCGACCCCUUCUGUGCCGGAGUUAACGCAAUAAGUAUCCCGCCUGGGAAGUACGAUCGCAAGAUUAAAAC
Molecule: ribosomal RNA, 861 nt
Filed under: uncultured bacterium
Lineage: Bacteria
Description: bacterial SSU rRNA
Rfam family: Bacterial small subunit ribosomal RNA
Source: RNAcentral